GAUGAACGCUGGCGGCGUGCCUAAUACAUGCCAGUCGAGCGAACAGACGAGGAGCUUGCUCCUCUGACGUUAGCGGCGGACGGGUGAGUAACACGUGGAUAACCUACCUAUAAGACUGGGAUAACUUCGGGAAACCGGAGCUAAUACCGGAUAAUAUAUUGAACCGCAUGGUUCAAUAGUGAAAGACGGUUUUGCUGUCACUUAUAGAUGGAUCCGCGCCGCAUUAGCUAGUUGGUAAGGUAACGGCUUACCAAGGCAACGAUGCGUAGCCGACCUGAGAGGGUGAUCGGCCACACUGGAACUGAGACACGGUCCAGACUCCUACGGGGGCAGCAGUAGGGAAUCUUCCGCAAUGGGCGAAAGCCUGACGGAGCAACGCCGCGUGAGUGAUGAAGGUCUUCGGAUCGUAAAACUCUGUUAUUAGGGAAGAACAAAUGUGUAAGUAACUAUGCACGUCUUGACGGUACCUAAUCAGAAAGCCACGGCUAACUACGUG
RNAcentral lists this ribosomal RNA (496 nucleotides) under uncultured bacterium. RNAcentral describes it as "partial 16S ribosomal RNA". It matches the Rfam family "Bacterial small subunit ribosomal RNA", at positions 28 to 507 of the family's 1533-position model. The record is from RNAcentral.